This 1891-nucleotide long non-coding RNA is filed under the name Nicotiana tabacum (common tobacco). Its description in RNAcentral is "long non-coding RNA (NTAB_LNC008430)". Lineage: Eukaryota; Viridiplantae; Streptophyta; Magnoliopsida; Solanales; Solanaceae. The record is from RNAcentral.
CACCCCCUAACAAGAAAGAAAGAAAAGAAAAAGUUCUUUGCUUAUCGUAAACAACUGUUCAUAAUGAUCAAAAGAGUCAUGAACAAGGCUGAUAUGGAGAGAUAGAUAAAAGAUGCUUCGGAGAUCAGCUGAUAGCAUUGAGUGGUUUAACUAGACUAUACAGGAAGAUGGUUGAAAUAUAACCUUCCUUCUCAGUUAAUAUGUUUUACUUGGACAUAUCUUUUCCUUUUCAUGUCAUGUUUGUGCUUUCUCCAUUGUGAUGGCAACUGUUAAACUCUUAUUGUGUUCUUGUAUCAGCUUCUAAGCCUUUUGAUUCUAUAGUUCGAUUGGGAUGUAUUUGUUACUCACUCUAAAGCUUUGCUUUUUGGUAGGAGUAUGAAGAAAAACUGAAAGAAAAGGGCGAACAGCCAGUCAUGUUUAGGUAAAAGAAGGCGGUCCUUUUCUAAUUUAUGUGUUUUCGAUCCUCAGACCCACCCAACCCCUAAAAUCAAGAAAUUACUCUCUUCUAUACUUAGUUCUCUUGUCUCAACUUUCUCCAACAGUCACUUGGGCCCUCCUCGAAGGCGGACCUCUGCUGAAGAGGAAGAAAUGGUCAAGCAUCCAAAACCUGAAGUAAGUUUUCACUUAACUCCUACAUUUUUUGUGGAAUUAGCUAGUGCUGAUCUGUGAAUCACAGCUAGCAAUAUGUGGUUGCAGGACUCGGUCUACUAUCACCCUACUCUAAAUCCAACUGGAGCUCCUCCUCCUGGAAAACCUCCUAUGUUUAAGUCAUCCAUUGGUGUGUAUAAUUCACUUCUCUAGUGAGUUUAAUGUUGCUUUCCGUGUGUGCGUCUCUCUGAUACUAUUCAUGCUUCAAACUACAGGAUCUCGAGUACCAUUAUCUGCGGCUUCAUCAAGCGGUACAGCAUCAUCAUCACAGUUGGAUGGAGAAGAUGGCAGCUUAUCAACUCUUCCUCCACCACCUCCACCACCUCCAUUGCCCCAGAGUGGUGAUGCAGAUUCUGUGGAUGUGUCUGCGAUGCCUGCAUCUUUACCUUUACCACCUCCACCUCCUAUGCCCCCAAAGCCCGUGACAGAAAUGAGCACUUCAUUGCCACUGCCUCCUUUGCCCCCACCACCUCCUGGUCCCCCACCAAAGGAACAGGUUGCCGUUCACCUUCCACUUCCUCCACCUCCCGCACCUCCCCUUCAGCCAUCUGCUCAACCUCCUCCCCCCGGCACUGGUGGAAGUGAAAGGGAUAGAAAUAACCUGGACAAUCCAGCUUCAGUAGAACUAAUGCCGGUAGUCUUGUCUUCUCACUAACUUAUUUAAAAUAUAUGUUCGAGGGAGUUCCUCUUUGGAAUUCCUGGAUAUGUAUAUAAUGUUUAUUUUCUAGUGAUGAUCUCUUUGCUUUUUCAUGGGUCCACUGUGCUUGCUCAGCCUCCUCUUCCACCGGGCUUGCCAUUGAAGUCAGAUGGCACAUCUGUUGAAUCUGAUGCUAAAGCUUCCUCAGAGUCGAAAGAUCAUGUUAGAUUGCCACCGCCACCUCCACCACCUCCAAGGCAACAGCCUUCAGUUCCUGGAGCUGCCAUGGUCCCAACUUUGCAUCAUGAUGUAUUACCUCCUGGACUUCCUCGGUUCCCUCCACCCCCACCCCCGACUGACAUGCGGCCACCACCUGGAAUUGCCGGCCAGCUUGCUCCACCUGGAGUCAUGCUCUCACUUAUGCCAAGACCACCUUUCGGACCUCCUCCUGGUCCUCCACCAAUGAUGAGACCGCCACUUCCGCCUGGUCCCCCUCCUUAUCUACAAGAUGGUGCCAGACCACUUGCCACUCAGAAGCCAUCAUAUGUUAAAUCAGCUGCUUCAACCGUUGUUAAGAGGCCUCUAGCUCAGCAUACACCAGAACUU